Molecule: transfer RNA, 73 nt
Organism: Camelus ferus (Wild Bactrian camel)
Lineage: Eukaryota; Metazoa; Chordata; Mammalia; Artiodactyla; Camelidae
Rfam family: tRNA
About the family: Transfer RNA (tRNA) molecules are approximately 80 nucleotides in length. Their secondary structure includes four short double-helical elements and three loops (D, anti-codon, and T loops).
Source: Rfam
GAAGGUAUAGCUCAAGUAGUACAGCACGUGCUUAGCACGCACAAGGUUCUGGGUUCAAUCCCCAGUACCUCCU